RNAcentral lists this transfer RNA (81 nucleotides) under Paragonimus skrjabini miyazakii. RNAcentral's name for it is "tRNA-Asn". The record is from RNAcentral. Lineage: Eukaryota; Metazoa; Platyhelminthes; Trematoda; Plagiorchiida; Troglotrematidae.
UUGAUGAUUUGGUUGUGUAGAUUAUUUUUAAAUCCUAAGGCUGUUAACCUUGAGAAGAGUUUUUGGGAAGCUCUGCAGCCG